RNAcentral lists this long non-coding RNA (1056 nucleotides) under Numida meleagris (helmeted guineafowl). RNAcentral describes it as "lncRNA (ENSNMEG00000005727.1)". Lineage: Eukaryota; Metazoa; Chordata; Aves; Galliformes; Numididae. The record is from RNAcentral.
GAGUGUUCGACCAAACCAGAGAAGAUCCUUGUCGUGAAGAGUUCAGGGGAAACGUCACAGAGCUCUUCGCUGUUAAGUGGGAGGUCAUGAAGAGUGUGGAGCCUGGCUGCGGUGCUGAUAUGUGUGAUAGGUUGGUGGAAAGAAGACAAGCCUGUGAGAGAUGCAGCAUGGUGGUGCAUUUGAGAAAAAUGAGCCGUCUGCCCAGUGUGCUGAGCUCCCCCUAGUGCAGCAGGCAGGCAGCUUUUGGAGGCCUGGCAGAUGUCACCUGGACCAGCAUUCCCACUUCUGCACGUGUGGCCGUCAUCCCCUGCAUGGUGCAGCAUGCCGUGUCUGCUGUGUUUUGCAGUGAGCUCCCUCUCUGUCACUGACAGCACCUUUCAGCCUUGACAAAACACUUGGAAGCAUCUGCAAGCCCUUCAGCAGCAGAGGAACGGACUGACAGAUGUAAUGAGAAGGAGCAAGAUGUGCAGAUCAUGGCCUCCUAUCUGCUGAGCUGCUUCUGAGCGCAGCAAAUCCUGCUGACCACCAUCAGCCAUGGUAGCUGCUUCGCUAUCCCAGGAAUGUAGCUGGAGAAGGGAAAGACUGCAGGCAUUCCUCACCCCACCCGAGAUACAGACCUCAAAAUACAGAGGGAAGACUAGAGCUUGGAACUGGGCUAGUCCUCUUAGCUUGCUGCUGGGAGCACAAUGGUGGCAAAGUGCUGUGACAAGGGACCCUGCUCUUGAACUAAAGACGGGAACUGGGCUGACAAGACGAUUAUGGUAUUUUGGCUCAGCUGGCAAACACAUCCCUUUUGGACAGACUGGAAAUGUUACACUGAGAAGCAGUUAGUACACCGUUGUGUAAGGUUCCUAAUGGACUGGAGCCAGAAUGCUCCAUUAACCACAUACAUAUAAAAUAUUCAUUGUGCUUGGGUUCUAUUGCCAAGCUGAAGAAAGGGGGAGAAGCUUUGUGUAUAGAGAUAAAACUGUCAGUAUUGAGGGCUGAAGGAAGGAGUUGAUAACGUGUUCUAAAAUCUUUUAUUCUUUUUAAGAGGAGAAGGAUUUUGAGUCUUUG